UUUCAGCACCAGCGCUGCCUUGUGGGUUCUCCUUUUCAAGCAGCAUAAUGAAGAUGUAAUGGAAUAUGAAAGAAGAAAAGAAGAGAGGCAACGUUGGCGGUAUGCUCAGUAAGAAGUCACGUGAUCACCAGUUGUCCUACAAAUAAAUGAGUGCAGCAGAGGUACAAAGUAACUAAAUACAUGUUCAUACAUUUCAUGUGCAGAAUUAUGAAAUAAAUUAUAAAGUCUGGAAGAAACUUACUAAG
Molecule: long non-coding RNA, 245 nt
Organism: Aptenodytes forsteri (emperor penguin)
Lineage: Eukaryota; Metazoa; Chordata; Aves; Sphenisciformes; Spheniscidae
Exons: 3
Source: RefSeq, a predicted model, not a curated record